Non-coding RNA from Oryctolagus cuniculus (rabbit), 638 nucleotides. The record is from RefSeq and is a predicted model, not a curated record. NCBI's taxonomy places the organism in Eukaryota, Metazoa, Chordata, Mammalia, Lagomorpha, Leporidae.
UGACAAAAGCUUGGCAGCCUCAUUGGGUGGGGCCCAUGAGUGUGAGGACUCAGACUGUCAUUGCACUGAGACCUGGAGCCAAGCACUGAGUGCAUGCUGAAGACACUGCUCCAAGCUCCACCACCCUAUUGGCCAAGGCACAAGUGCAAAUUGUACUUAUGAAUUUAUCAUAAAUUAUUUUUUAAAUGGAAUGUUUCAAACCAAACUAUGAAAAUGCUUUCCCUCCGGAAUGGAAUCCCACCCUUAGCAAUCUGAGUUUGACUUGAUAAAUAACGUGACAGGCUACUGAGGAAGAUUGCAAAUUAUAUCUCUCAGGGGGUUUUCAAAAGACAAUUACCAUCUGUCCAGUAGAAGUCCAAGAGUUACACAGAGGCAGAGGUAGAAGCAGAGAGAGAUAUUCCAUCACACCCCCAAAUGGCUGCAACGGUUGGAACUGGAUGAAUCUGAAGCCAGGAGUCAGGAGCUUCUUCCAGUCCUUGCAGGUGCUGUUCCUGUGGAGUGUAAAUUCCAGGAGGAGAGUUAAGGCUGUAGCAGAUGUUAUAAAAUGUAACUUUAAUUAUUUUGGAAGCUUAUACAUUGUUGCUGGUUUUACUAUAUUUUGAAGAUAUGAAUAAAUGAGUUAACAUUUAUCAACUGAA